UACGUAGGGGGCAAGCGUUGUCCGGAAUUAUUGGGCGUAAAGCGCGUGUAGGCGGCUUGGUAAGUCUGGUGUGAAAUCUUGGGGCUCAACCCCAAGCCUGCAUCGGAUACUGCCUGGCUAGAGUCCGGGAGGGGAGAGCGGAAUUCCCAGUGUAGCGGUGAAAUGCGCAGAUAUUGGGAAGAACACCGGUGGCGAAGGCGGCUCUCUGGAACGGUACUGACGCUGAGACGCGAAAGCGUGGGGAGCGAACAGG
This 253-nucleotide ribosomal RNA is filed under the name uncultured bacterium. Its description in RNAcentral is "partial 16S ribosomal RNA". It matches the Rfam family "Bacterial small subunit ribosomal RNA", at positions 524 to 776 of the family's 1533-position model. The record is from RNAcentral.